Gymnodraco acuticeps is the source of this 70-nucleotide small nucleolar RNA. RefSeq annotates it as small nucleolar RNA SNORD24. The record is from RefSeq and is a predicted model, not a curated record. NCBI's taxonomy places the organism in Eukaryota, Metazoa, Chordata, Actinopteri, Perciformes, Bathydraconidae. The transcript has a single exon.
UGCAGAUGAUGUUAAUAAUAUUUGCUAUCUGAACGUCUGUGCUGACAUUCCCACCAAGAUCACUGAUGCA